CUUUGUGAGAUUUAUUUUAAUAUUAAUGAGAAUUAUAUACUACCUAAGUGUUGUACCUUGAUUAUACUCAGGUAUAUAGGAGAAGAGAAGGAUGAAUCGGACCCUGAAGACAGACUAGCAAAACAGACCAGUAGAGUCAAGAACGGACCAGUGCAAAUAAAUCUUCAUAACCUUUUACUCACAAAAGCUAUGAAGGCCUAUGAGGACUUGUUGGAAAGCUUGUCGAGCCUGCUUUCCAAUGCCUCAAGUCUCAUCUCAUUUGGACGUCGC
Molecule: long non-coding RNA, 270 nt
Filed under: Sorghum bicolor (sorghum)
Lineage: Eukaryota; Viridiplantae; Streptophyta; Magnoliopsida; Poales; Poaceae
Description: long non-coding RNA (SBIC_LNC012356)
Source: RNAcentral